RNAcentral lists this long non-coding RNA (1887 nucleotides) under Homo sapiens (human). RNAcentral's name for it is "HSALNT0305207". The record is from RNAcentral. Lineage: Eukaryota; Metazoa; Chordata; Mammalia; Primates; Hominidae.
GGGGUGGAGCAGCAGGUCUCUUUGGAGGUGGCCUGGAAGAAACCGGACAGAGAGGAUGGGAAGGGGAGAAACAGAAGAGUGUGACGAGAUCAUGAAGGAAAGAGGAGGCGUCUACUGAAUGUAAGGUAGAGCCAAAGGCAUCUAUUGAUGACUGAAGAAGAGGCAUGAAUAUGACAAAAACAGGAAGAAGCCCACAAUGAUGAUGAAAUUAGAAAGGAAGACAAGAACAACAAGGUUGUGGAAUUCAGAAGCCAUAUAGACAAGAGGUAACACACCUGAGAAAGAUGAUCCCUAAAUUUGUCUUGGAGAAAACUCGGAAGUACCUGACUACAUCAUAGACCUCCCAAACAGCUUCCAAAUGUCAGAUACCACUGAAAAUGGGGAUAAAGACCACUAGAGAUUAGAAAAUUGUUCUCUGGGGUAUCUGACCACUUCCAGAGGAAAGACAUAAAGAUGCUGAUGUCAAGAAUGACCCAACUAAACGGCCCAGCCAGAUGACCCAGUUGAAGCUGGUGGACAAGAAGUUUCAUUCAUGGAAUCAGAACUUCCAAUAAGCUGGGAAAACGGCAAUGGAUUAAUAACAAGAAAUUAAUGGUGAAGUGGUGACGAAAAUUCUACAUUGCUUAGAAAGCAAAUAGUGAAAUGAACAUUUACAUUCUGGCAACCUCAGAAGUACAACGAACAGAGGACACCAGCCAGGUAGGGCAAAGGCCUGUGCGCCCCCUUUUGCUGUUACAUGUUUAUCAGAUGCGUGCUCUGUUUCUGUUGUAUUACAUUACUUUUCUCUUCAAUGUCUACUGAGGAAGAACAAGUAGCUCCUCAGGCAAGUCAACUGUUAACUCUGCAGUUUUUAUUUAAUCUCCCAGGAAUGUAACCCUUAACUUUAAAGAAUGUAGUGACCAUAAAACUUAUAAGGCAUGUUUCUUAAGGAAAUUGUACCUGUUUAUUUAAUCUAUCAGAUAUGAAUGUUAUAGAAAAUUAAAUUUGUCCACUUAAGCUGUAGAUGAACUUUUCACCUUUCUGAUCAGAAAUUCACCAUUUUAUAGUAUAGGUUCUGUUAUUAAUCAGAAUAUUUCAUUUAGACUCUUUCUAUCCAACUUUUUCUUAGAGGCUAUUCAAAAUAAAGGUGCUUCUAACAGUUUCAUAUCGAAAUACGAUGCAAAGCCUUGCUCUUCCAUGGUAUCCUUUGAGUGAGCCAAACUUAUUUAGCCAUUCCCCUAUAGUUAAAUAGCUAGGAUGUUUCCAACAUCUCACCUUUAAAACAAUAGUGCUAUGAAUGUCAUAAAUGUUUGUAUAUGUAAAUAUGUAGGAUAAAUCCCUAUCAGUAGAAUUUCAAAAGGUAUACGCAAUCAGUAUUUUCAUACAUAUUUAAAAUUUUCCAUCCAUACAAAGGUUGCUAACAUAUUUAUUUAAAAUUUUAAAAAUAAUUUUAUAUGCCUCUUGUAACCAGUAAUAGGAUGCAAAGUUUUUGUUUUAAGGUAACAUUGCUCCUCUUCCCCCAUUGUCUCUGUCAUCUAUAGUACUCCCUAAGGUAGUUCAUGUUAUUGCAAGGGUGUGUAUCAUCCCAAACAUAUUGCUUCCACAUACAUAUAUCAGCAUACAUAUAUAUAUAUGUAUAGCAUAUAUAUAUAUGAGCACAUAUUAAUAUAUGCCCAUGCACAUACAAGCAUGUUUUUGUUAAUUUUUACUGAAAUGGAAUCAUGCUACAUACUUAUGAACAAAUUGCUUCUUUCACCUUAUAUCACUUAUAAUUGUUAUUCUACAAAUCAGUACAUAUAAAAAAUACAUAUUUACAUAUGUAAUACUCUAUCUGUUAUAAUUUUCUGCAUGCACAUGUAUGCAUAUACAUAUAUUCAUAAACAUAAAAAUCUAAACGGGAUUUUUUUG